RNAcentral lists this ribosomal RNA (805 nucleotides) under Paraphaeosphaeria sp. Its description in RNAcentral is "partial large subunit ribosomal RNA". It matches the Rfam family "Eukaryotic large subunit ribosomal RNA", at positions 87 to 909 of the family's 3401-position model. Lineage: Eukaryota; Fungi; Ascomycota; Dothideomycetes; Pleosporales; Didymosphaeriaceae. The record is from RNAcentral.
CGGCGAGUGAAGCGGCAACAGCUCAAAUUUGAAAUCUGGCUCCCCUUGGGGGUCCGAGUUGUAAUUUGCAGAGGAUGCUUUGGCAUUGACGGCGGUCUAAGUUCCUUGGAACAGGACAUCACAGAGGGUGAGAAUCCCGUACGUGGUCGCCUGGCCUUGCCAUGUAAAGCUCCUUCGACGAGUCGAGUUGUUUGGGAAUGCAGCUCUAAAUGGGAGGUAAAUUUCUUCUAAAGCUAAAUACCGGCCAGAGACCGAUAGCGCACAAGUAGAGUGAUCGAAAGAUGAAAAGUACUUUGGAAAGAGAGUCAAAAAGCACGUGAAAUUGUUGAAAGGGAAGCGCUUGCAGCCAGACUUGCCCGCAGUUGCUCACCUAGGCUUUGGCCUGGGGCACUCUUCUGCGGGCAGGCCAGCAUCAGUUUGGGCGGUUGGAUAAAGGCCUCUGUCACGUAUCUCCCUUCGGGGUGACCUUAUAGGGGAGGCGUAAUGCAACCAGCCCGGACUGAGGUCCGCGCAUCUGCUAGGAUGCUGGCGUAAUGGCUGUAAGCGGCCCGUCUUGAAACACGGACCAAGGAGUCUAACAUCUAUGCGAGUGUUUGGGUGUCAAGCCCGAGCGCGCAAUGAAAGUGAACGGAGGUGGGAACCCUUUGGGUGCACCAUCGACCGAUCCUGAUGUCUUCGGAUGGAUUUGAGUAAGAGCAUAGCUGUUGGGACCCGAAAGAUGGUGAACUAUGCUUGAAUAGGGUGAAGCCAGAGGAAACUCUGGUGGAGGCUCGCAGCGGUUCUGACGUGCAAAUCGAUCGUCAAA